RNAcentral lists this transfer RNA (68 nucleotides) under Smilium sinense. RNAcentral describes it as "tRNA-Leu". It matches the Rfam family "tRNA". Rfam says of the family: Transfer RNA (tRNA) molecules are approximately 80 nucleotides in length. Their secondary structure includes four short double-helical elements and three loops (D, anti-codon, and T loops). Lineage: Eukaryota; Metazoa; Arthropoda; Thecostraca; Calanticomorpha; Calanticidae. The record is from RNAcentral.
AUAAAUUUGGCAGAUAAUUGUAUUAGAUUUAGAAUCUAAAAAUAAGAAUUAAAACUUCUUAAUUUAUA